CAGAGAAGACUAUCUUUUUUUUUUUCCCAGUAGCAACCAUCUUUCCUGUGAAAAAUUCCCUCUCCUAGUACUUUAGUUCUGUGGAUCCAAAAAUUAUAGCAUUCUUUUACCACCAUGGGGCUCAUAACGACAUUAAUAGACACUUUUCAGAAAGGCAGGUUGUUCUUUGGGCCACAUCUAAGAAACCUUUGUCUAGCCAAAAGCCACAAAUAAUUUCUCGUUUUUGGCUUCUGGAAGAUGUACAGUUAAAUCUUAUAUUUAGAAUUGUUAUCUAAUUUGAUUAAAUUGCUCUCUAUGAUAUGAUAUUUGAAUUGAUGAAAAAUUAGUGAAUAUUAAUAUUUUUUAAAGUGGUCAAAUCUUGCAAUUUAUAUCUAAUAGAGAAGACUAGAAAAUCCCCCAUAUUUAUUUCCUCUUACUUCAUACUACUAAAAUUUGUAUUUAGGCAUUUGGUUUCUCAGAUAAACAUUACAUUCCCCAGUAUAUGGUUCUAUGUGGCUUUGUGACAACAUGAUGAACAUUAAGAUGUGAGUAGAAGUAAUACAUACACAUUAUUUUCAAUGUCUUUAAUUGAAUGGGAUAUUGGCCCAUUUUUUCUUCCAGUUUAUUACACUGAAUGUUGACAUGUUAUUUUUCAAUAUUGAGAUAACUAGACAAUGACAAGACUUUAAGAGUAACAAUGUAAAAAUUAUACAAGUUGUCAGGUUUAUCAACAAUCCACUGGAUUAGAGCCCCCUACCAGUCCUAGGCCAUCUAAUAUAUAGACAUUGUGUUCAGUAGAAAUAAAUAUAUAUUUUUUU
Mandrillus leucophaeus (drill) is the source of this 797-nucleotide long non-coding RNA. RefSeq lists it as uncharacterized. NCBI's taxonomy places the organism in Eukaryota, Metazoa, Chordata, Mammalia, Primates, Cercopithecidae. The transcript has 3 exons. The record is from RefSeq and is a predicted model, not a curated record.